This 2648-nucleotide long non-coding RNA is filed under the name Panax ginseng (ginseng). Its description in RNAcentral is "long non-coding RNA (PGIN_LNC008331)". Lineage: Eukaryota; Viridiplantae; Streptophyta; Magnoliopsida; Apiales; Araliaceae. The record is from RNAcentral.
UAACUGUAUCAUCUGAAGAAUAUUAUGUACUCUUAUUAAGUUUUUUCCAAACAGUAACUGUGUUGUCACACAAACUUAAUUAAAAAAAUAAAUUCAAGUAUAUAAGCACACAAACUUAAUUAAAAAAAUAAAUUCAAGUAUAUAAGCAAAGUUGUUCCAGAUAUACAUAACACUCCUGUUUGUGUAUUUAUUUCUUCCAUAUGGAGCACUUUCAUGUUGACUUCAACCGCACUCAUUAGAUAUAUAAUCAUGUUCUUCAACAUCAGUUAAUUGAUCACAACCAAGAUAACUAAGACACUAGUAAUUAAACAAGUAAUUAUAAUUUGCGUCUUCAAUCAUCAUCAUGGCGGUCUUCAUUGAUUUCGUCCAGAAUCACCACCCAUGUAUGGCACUGAAAAAGACAAGAACUAUAUAUUAGAAACCACUAUAAUUAUGUCCUUUACAUAACCGCCCAUGUAACUGUAUGCAAAAAUGUAAACCGAAAAGUAUGAAACAUGUUCCCAAACUUGAAAUUCUUAUGUAUUGUACAUAGUUGGAAAAUAGCAUCCACAUAGACUGGAAAAGAUUUGUCAUAUUUAUGUUGAUUAGCAAACUGUACAAGCAUAAGGAACCUCCAAAAUAAAGCUGCAAAAUCCAACAAAUUCUUUGUCCGACACAGAUAUUCUUCUAAAUUUUUACUUUAAAAUGAAAUGUUCAACACUCGUGUAAGUGUCGUACACAAAUACUCUUGAACAAAGGGAAGAAAACAUGUAAUAUAAGUGUAUGUUGAAUAGGCAUGCUUAUACAUCAGUUUUCUGAACCAAUACAUCACCUUACACUCGGUGUUAAGAAAAGAGAAAAAAAGAAAAACAUAACCAAAGAUUUGAGACAAGGCAAAUAUGUACUAUAAACAAUAAAUUUCAACUUGGGAAAAAUAUGCAACAAGAUGCAUACCAAGCAGUCUUCCCUCCUGAAAUAACCGAAACAGGAAUCUUAGGUUACAUUACACAAGAAACAUACAAAACCUGGACAAACCCCCCAUGCCUUGGUCAAUGGACUACAUGCCAACCCACACUUGUCUCGGUUGCAAAGAAAUUUCAAAUAUACCAACAAUAUGUGAUUUCAAGUAAUAGACAGGUGGGGAAAUUAAGAAUGAAAAUUACUACCAGUCCUCAAAUAUGUUUUGACUACCUUUUUUGUUUGUUUGUUUGUUUAAUUACCAUUACUUGUUUGCUUUAGUGGUGUAAAGUCUCAGACCAUGAAAUCUAAUCAUCAUUCAAGCUCAUCAUAACGAACAACCAACAAUAUCAGGUCGAUACUUAGCAUCCAUAGUCCAUCUUUUCAAUAUAUAUAUUUUUGGAAUGGAAACAAAUUUUUUAAAUCUCAUAACACAAAUGAUAUGUUUGCAUAGCAUUCCUUCCAUCUCAAACAUCUUUUUAGGCAAUUCCUUGCAAAACUAUAAACAUAGUCGAUCACAUUGAUCAGCUUGAUUCAUCAAAAGUUAAGAAGAACCAUCUUUUUAUAUAGUGUGGCCUUAAUACUAAAAGUAGAAUAACUGUCCAACCAAAUGCUACAAAACCGUGAACUCCAGUGAGACAGUGAAACAUUUAUCAUUUAUGCCCAACAAUUAUAACCAUUAUUUCUUUUUAAUCAAACUAACUAUCAUCAAUAACCAAUCAAAGGGCAACCACAUAAAAUCAGCAAUCCAAUAACAGCCCAAAUUAAAGAAAAACUCACCACAGCCCUUAUCAAUCCACGGUGAAAUCAGUUAGUUUGAUUAAGACAUCAGGAAAUUGUUAUCCACGGAAAGUAAAGCAUAUUGCUUCAAACGGUUAAAACACUUCUGUGUUUAUAAACUUACAAAUUUAUAAGGAAAAAAAAAACUAAGACAGACAACAAAGGACAUGCUCCAAACACUAACCAACUUUAGAUCAACUAGUCACAAAUAUUUAUUUGGAUGAAACAUUCUUCAGUUCACAAUGUUUAAACAUCACUACAUGUUUGAACAUUAAUGUUACUGCACAACGAUGUUCUAAAACUCAAAUCACAUAGACUAUAAAAUAUUUCUCAAGAGAUUAUUCCACAAAAAACAGAUCUUCUUGAGUUCAGUUAACAACUAAGCAUUCACUUCCACUUGUUCAAGUAUCAAUGAACCGAUACCUUUGUUCAUAAUAUAGUGACUGUGUAUAUAUGUGUAAUGCUAAUCAAGUGAUAAUUAAAGCUAAAUAACGAAUUAAACAAAAAUUAAAUGUGCCACGAUUGUUGCAGAAACAGAGGAACAAUUGUGGUGAAAACCCCAUUAAAAAUUCAUCAAAUCGCAACAUCACUUUUAAAGGGGUCACAUAAACCCUAGAAAUCAUCCUACGUCAAACCCUUACCGAAUCGAGGUGUGAAUCAAGGAGGUCUGAAAUAAAAGUCGCAAUCGAACCGAUGAGCAGCCAUGUUUUUGUAUUGGUCUGAAGUCGCAAUGGUAAUCGCAACGGCGGUGGCGGCAGUGGUAGGGAUUUCUAUAUACGGAAGAGGAUUUGGGAGGAGAAGCUCUUAUGCGACUGGGGAGGAGAUGAUGCGCGAUUGAGGAGGAGAAUGGAGAGAAGCCCUUAUGCAACUGGGGAGAGGAGAUGAUGCGCGAUUGAAGAGGAAAAGGGAGAGAAGCCGUGGUUUAUUUUUUU